CCCCAAGGGGCGCGCGCCGCCCCCGAAAUACAGUGGCGGUCCCGCCGACGCCUCCCCUGCGUAGUAGCAACACCUCGCACCGGAGCGCGGCGCGGCCCACGCCGUAAAACCCCCGACGUACCUGAAGUUUGACCUCGGAUCAGGUAGGAAUACCCGCUGAACUUAAGC
RNAcentral lists this unclassified non-coding RNA (168 nucleotides) under plant metagenome. RNAcentral's name for it is "partial contains internal transcribed spacer 2 and large subunit ribosomal RNA". The record is from RNAcentral.